Hibiscus syriacus is the source of this 372-nucleotide long non-coding RNA. RefSeq lists it as uncharacterized. Lineage: Eukaryota; Viridiplantae; Streptophyta; Magnoliopsida; Malvales; Malvaceae. The transcript has 3 exons. The record is from RefSeq and is a predicted model, not a curated record.
AGAAUGGUAAAAUUGCAUUUCCAUUACUUAUCAAAAUUUCAUUCCCAUUUAUGCAGGGAUCUUUCUGAAGCUGGCCAAAGGGCAGGGAAAAACAUGGUUUGUUGCAAAGCCUUCGACCGAUGAUGCAGCACUGGCUUCCAACAUAAACUCGGCCUGUAAUGAUCUUGGAUCCUUGGGAUGGAACUGCAGCCAGAUACAGCCGACCGGAGGCUGCUUCGAGCCCGACACUCUCUUCAACCAUGCAUCCUUUGCCAUGAAUUCUUACUACCAAGCCUAUGGUCGUCAGGAACAUACAUGUUACUUCACGGGCUCUGCUCUCAUCACCAUCUCCGACCCAAGCUAUGGAAACUGUCAGUAUGCGUGAGGAGUACU